This 786-nucleotide unclassified non-coding RNA is filed under the name Arabidopsis thaliana (thale cress). Lineage: Eukaryota; Viridiplantae; Streptophyta; Magnoliopsida; Brassicales; Brassicaceae. The record is from RNAcentral.
CACAGUAAAUCCAACAACAAAAGGUUUGAUGCUUAUCUUGUUGUGCGCAUGCUUUCUUAUCCCUUUUUUUGGUAUGUUUCUACAGUUAUCAUUGGAGAUCGUGACUAGCAAAAUGCAGUAUAUUUUCACUUCUGGCUGAAAGUAUUCAGCUAAUCCAGAAUAUUUUAACCUCAUACAUAUACGACAGAGCUGCAGUAGUUUCUUCUAGCAUUCUGUGGGACUGGUUCACAUUUUUUUAACUGUUACUUUUAGUAAGUAACAAUAAUCUACAUGUCACUGAACAUGCAUCGAUAUAUACAUUUAUGUUAAGAAAAGUGUGUGGAAUAUAACACUACGCCUUUAAUUGACUGUAAAUUUUUGUUCUUUUUAUGUCUCAGCUUUCGUCAUGCUAUUAAUUCAGGAAACCUCUCUAGAACAGACAUGACUUCUUUCUCUUCUCUUUGCAGUAAUACUUUUCAUUCUCCAGAGACUGAGCAUGGCAGAGAACAUGUUCUGAUAAUAAGCCGCAGAUGCACUGUCCUCAACAAAAGCACCAUCAGAAUCUGAUACCAGUAAAAGCCACUAAAUGGACUCUGUUUCAUCAAAGAGUGACGUGUCUUUGGCCUCUACCAACCUUUCACUUUGCUUAUCCCCAACAAUUUCUGGUGCGUGAAAGCUCUUUUGCUGGCACAAAGAAAGCUCUUUUACUGGCACAAAUGAUGGCUCAAAGACACAUCUGCAACACCCUCCAAGUUUUGACUAUGGAAUUUAAGCAAACAUCAACAUCACAUUUUCACCUAAAAAGGU